This 497-nucleotide ribosomal RNA is filed under the name uncultured bacterium. RNAcentral describes it as "partial 16S ribosomal RNA". It matches the Rfam family "Bacterial small subunit ribosomal RNA", at positions 28 to 506 of the family's 1533-position model. The record is from RNAcentral.
GAUGAACGCUGGCGGCGUGCCUAAUACAUGCAAGUCGAGCGAACGGACGAGAAGCUUGCUUCUCUGAUGUUAGCGGCGGACGGGUGAGUAACACGUGGAUAACCUACCUAUAAGACUGGGAUAACUUCGGGAAACCGGAGCUAAUACCGGAUAAUAUUUUGAACCGCAUGGUUCAAUAGUGAAAGACGGUCUUGCUGUCACUUAUAGAUGGAUCCGCGCUGCAUUAGCUAGUUGGUAAGGUAACGGCUUACCAAGGCAACGAUGCAUAGCCGACCUGAGAGGGGGAUUGGGCAACGCGGAAAUGGAGAAACGUCCCAAAUCCUUAGGGGAGGAACAGGUAGGGAUUUUCCGGAAAUGGGCGAAAGCUUACGGGAGAAACGCGGCGGAAGUGAUGAAGGUCUUCGGAUCGUAAACCCUUUUUAUUAGGGAAGAACAUAUUGGUAAGUAACUGUGCACAUCUUGACGGUACCUAACAAGAAAGCCACGGUUAACUACGU